CAGAGAAUAGUUUAUUAAAAAUUUUAAUUUUGGAGAUUAAAGAUAGGAGGAAUUUCUUUCUCUGA
RNAcentral lists this transfer RNA (65 nucleotides) under Staphylinidae sp. BMNH 1274634. Its description in RNAcentral is "tRNA-Pro". Lineage: Eukaryota; Metazoa; Arthropoda; Insecta; Coleoptera; Staphylinidae. The record is from RNAcentral.